Molecule: long non-coding RNA, 1177 nt
Filed under: Macaca mulatta (Rhesus monkey)
Lineage: Eukaryota; Metazoa; Chordata; Mammalia; Primates; Cercopithecidae
Description: lncRNA (ENSMMUG00000044413.2)
Source: RNAcentral
UCUUGAAAGCUUUACUUUUGCUUUUGUUUUACUUCCGCUUUCACUUUAAUAAAUCUUGCCACUGCACACUCUUUGGGUCAGUGCGUUUCUCUAAUCGAGCUGUAAUACUCACCGUUGCAAUUCAUGGCUUCAUUCCUUGAAGCCCGUGAGACCACCAGCCCUUCAAUCGAGAAAAGACCUUCAAUCGGGAGAAGACCUCUUGUUUCAUUUCUGGGGGCUCACCUGGGAUUUCUCCAAAGCAGUGCCUGUACAAGGACCCCAGCUGCAGAAUAGGUGCUCUCCCCCACUUCUUUCCUUCCCACAUUCCAUCUUUGCAUCUGGGACAGCCUUUUCAGAAGUGGAAGGAGCCUCAGGAGUUAUUCGGUUCAACUGCUUUGAAAUGUCACACAAAACCAUGGAAUUAGAAUAUCACCAUUUUGCACCUUCUGUGAAUUGAUGAAUCAUGGCUUCCAUCGAGUAUUCUUGCCAGAAAAAUAGAACCUGGCUCCAAGAAAAAAGAACAUGCUAAAUGAUGUUAUGAGGAUGCAGUCUGCAACACCCAGACUGUUGGAGUCGGAAACUCCAGAACAAGCAACCCAGUAUCUUCAACAACACCAAUGCAUGAAAAUAAACAAAUGAAAAAAGCAAUUGAAGGAUGACACAAAAUGAAAAACAAAUGAAUAAAAAAAAAUUUCAAGGGAAUAAAAGAGAAGAAUGGAAAAUCUAUAGAUUUAGAGAGAUAAACAUCAACAAAUUGACAUGUAUGGAACUUAUUUGAAACUUGAUUCAAACAAAAUGCAAAAAAUAAAAAAAUGCAAUAAAAAAUUGAACAUUGCAUAUUUUAUGGUAUUAAGUAAUUGUUUUAGAACUCUUGAGUUGUAAUGAUUACAUUGUGGUUAUGCUUUAAAAAGCAAAAUAGAGUCCUUAUGUUUUAAAGAUGCAUAUUGAAAUAUUUAUGGAUUAAAUAGUAUAACCUGUGGAAAUUUGCUUCAAAAGAUUCAUGGAGGUGGGGAAUGAGUGGGGUUAUACAUGAAACAAUGUUGGGCAAUAAUUAAUAAUUGUUGAAGCUGCAAACUCACUAUACAAUUCUUGUUUUUUGGACACUUCUAAAUUUUGUGUAAUAAGUUUAAAAAUAAUACUAGUUUCUUCGUGUGUUUUGUUCCUCUACCUUGACCUCUCCCACUCCUUGUGGUACUAU